AGAGUUUGAUCCUGGCUCAGGAUGAACGCUGGCGGUAUGCUUAACACAUGCAAGUCGAACGGUCUCUUCGGAGAUAGUGGCGGACGGGUGAGUAACGCGUGAGAACAUGCCUUUAGAUUGGGGACAACAGUUGGAAACGACUGCUAAUACCGAAUGUGCCUUAGGGUGAAAGAUUUAUUGUCUAGAGAUUGGCUCGCGUCAGAUUAGCUAGUUGGAGCGGUAACGGCACACCAAGGCGACGAUCUGUACUUGGUCUGAGAGGAUGACCAGGCACACUGGAACUGAGACACGGUCCAGACUCCUACGGGAGGCAGCAGUGGGGAAUUUUCCGCAAUGGGCGAAAGCCUGACGGAGCAAUACCGCGUGAGGGAGGACGGCUUUUGGGUUGUAAACCUCUUUUAUCAGGGAAGAAUCGAUGACGGUACCUGAUGAAUCAGCAUCGGCUAACUCCGUGCCAGCAGCCGCGGUAAUACGGAGGAUGCAAGCGUUAUCCGGAAUUAUUGGGCGUAAAGCGUCCGUAGGUGGUUUAUCAAGUCUGCUGUCAAAGCGUGCGGCUUAACCGCAUAAGGGCAGUGGAAACUGAUGAACUAGAGUGCGAUAGGGGUAACAGGAAUUCCCAGUGUAGCGGUGAAAUGCGUAGAUAUUGGGAAGAACACCAGCGGCGAAAGCGUGUUACUGGGUCUGCACUGACACUGAGGGACGAAAGCUAGGGGAGCGAAAGGGAUUAGAUACCCCUGUAGUCCUAGCCGUAAACGAUGACAACUAGGCGUGGUUCGUAUCGACCCGAGCCGUGCCGUAGCCAACGCGUUAAGUUGUCCGCCUGGGGAGUACGCACGCAAGUGUGAAACUCAAAGGAAUUGACGGGGGCCCGCACAAGCGGUGGAGUAUGUGGUUUAAUUCGAUGCAACGCGAAGAACCUUACCAAGGCUUGACAUCCUCGGAACCCUGAUGAAAGUUAGGGGUGCCUUCGGGAGCCGAGAGACAGGUGGUGCAUGGCUGUCGUCAGCUCGUGUCGUGAGAUGUUGGGUUAAGUCCCGCAACGAGCGCAACCCACGUUUUUAGUUGCCAGCAUUCAGUUGGGCACUCUAGAGAGACUGCCGGUGACAAACCGGAGGAAGGUGUGGAUGACGUCAAGUCAGCAUGCCCCAUACGCCUUGGGCUACACACGUACUACAAUGCGUCGGACAAAGAGCAGCCAGCCAGCGAUGGUGAGCCAAUCUCAUAAACCGACGCUCAGUUCAGAUUGCAGGCUGCAACUCGCCUGCAUGAAGGCGGAAUCGCUAGUAAUCGCAGGUCAGCAUACUGCGGUGAAUACGUUCCCGGGCCUUGUACACACCGCCCGUCACACCAUGGGAGUUGGUCACGCCCGAAGUCGUUACUCUAACUGCUUGCAGAGGAGGACGCCGAAGGUGGGGCUGAUGACUGGGGUGAAGUCGUAACAAGGUAACC
Molecule: ribosomal RNA, 1449 nt
Filed under: uncultured cyanobacterium
Lineage: Bacteria; Bacillati; Cyanobacteriota
Description: bacterial SSU rRNA
Rfam family: Bacterial small subunit ribosomal RNA
Source: RNAcentral